CCUACGGGGGGCAGCAGUGGGGAAUAUUGGACAAUGGGCGAAAGCCUGAUCCAGCCAUGCCGCGUGUGUGAAGAAGGCCUUCGGGUGGUAAAGCACUUUCAGUGGGGAAGAAAGCCUUGGGGCUAAUACCCUCGAGGAAGGACAUCACCCACAGAAGAAGCACCGGCUAACUCCGUGCCAGCAGCCGCGGUAAUACGGAGGGUGCGAGCGUUAAUCGGAAUUACUGGGCGUAAAGCGCGCGUAGGCGGUCUGAUAAGCCGGUUGUGAAAGCCCCGGGCUCAACCUGGGAACGGCAUCCGGAACUGUCAGGCUAGAGUGCAGGAGAGGAAGGUAGAAUUCCCGGUGUAGCGGUGAAAUGCGUAGAGAUCGGGAGGAAUACCAGUGGCGAAGGCGGCCUUCUGGACUGACACUGACGCUGAGGUGCGAAAGCGUGGGUAGCAAACAGGAUUAGAUACCCGAGUAGUC
Molecule: ribosomal RNA, 465 nt
Filed under: Vreelandella stevensii
Lineage: Bacteria; Pseudomonadati; Pseudomonadota; Gammaproteobacteria; Oceanospirillales; Halomonadaceae
Description: partial 16S ribosomal RNA
Rfam family: Bacterial small subunit ribosomal RNA
Source: RNAcentral